UACAGAGGUCUCAAGCGUUGUUCGGAUUCAUUUGGGCGUAAAGGGUGCGUAGGCGGCGCGGUAAGUCGGGUGUGAAAUCUCGGAGCUUAACUCCGAAACUGCAUUCGAUACUGCCGUGCUUGAGGACUGGAGAGGAGACUGGAAUUUACGGUGUAGCGGUGAAAUGCGUAGAUAUCGUAAGGAAGACCAGUGGCGAAGGCGG
RNAcentral lists this ribosomal RNA (202 nucleotides) under uncultured bacterium. RNAcentral's name for it is "partial 16S ribosomal RNA". It matches the Rfam family "Bacterial small subunit ribosomal RNA", at positions 524 to 724 of the family's 1533-position model. The record is from RNAcentral.